UGUGUAGAUGGGGCAUCCGUGUGAGGAUGGUUUAGUAAGAGAUCCCUUUUGGGGUUGUUGACUUCUAUUAUCUUGUCAUUUGAUGUUUUUCCUAGUGGAUUUGUAGUGAUAGAAAUGGGUUUUCUUAGUCUGCUUUGGGUUUGUUGUGAGUUUUAGGACAAGAAGGAAGGGCAGGUUGCAGAGGAAGCCGGGACCAAUGAAAUCGAUGUCCAUGGUGAUGCUGGGAGGGAAGAAGACGAUGUGGUGGUGGAGAUCCAUGCAGGGUUCAAGCCGGUAGAUCACCCACUCGAGCCUCCGGACGAGGACCCACCUGCGAAAUGGCCAAUGCCCGAUUCUUCCCUUCUGAAUGUUCAAGUUCCAGCCUCGGGGUCUGAAACAAUAGAAUGUGGUGUGUACCAGCACCCAUUCCUGGUUGGUGCUCAUUGAUGUCUUCUGAUUUUAUCACAUCGUGGUAAUGCAUCCGACUGAGCUUCAGGAAAUUUUCUGUGUCACAGCUAAUAGGCUCGGUUACCGGCUUUGUAUAUUCAUUAAUAUGGUCAUGUUUUACUCAUUAGACUUGGUGGUUCUUUGUAUAUGAAUCUUCUUUGAGCAGGCAUAUUUGGGAUCGUCAAGUGUGUUAAGUGGGUUCGGAUGACUGGAAACUAAUUUAAAAUGCUUGGAUGGUUUUAUUUGUUGAUGCUUGUCUAGUCUGGCAUUAGCAAUUUACUCAAUAAAUUAGUCGGAGCUGCUUUGCUUCCUUUAUGUUUAUA
This is a non-coding RNA of Phoenix dactylifera (date palm), 749 nucleotides long. The record is from RefSeq and is a predicted model, not a curated record. NCBI's taxonomy places the organism in Eukaryota, Viridiplantae, Streptophyta, Magnoliopsida, Arecales, Arecaceae.